GUUUUACUGAGGCUCAGUCACGUAGAUGGGCCAUGGGGAUGGCCAUGUGGAUGUCCAUGGUGUGGACUCGGCAACACUAUACAGCCAAGGUUGCAUCCUUGAAAUCUCCAGGGCUCUGAGAAUGGUGGGCGGAGCAUACAUUCCAAAGAUAGAGAAGGGGCUAGGGAGCCUCUGAUUGCCUGGUUGCCCGGGGCCAGUGCUCAGGGCAUCCCAACAUCCUGUGCCCUUCAAGGGCCUCCUCCAACACUGCGGUCAUGGCUCCUGCUUCAAGAUGACCAGUUUGUGGAAUCCGUGGAUACUGCUCAUAGGAUGGGGUUCUAGGCUAGAACACUUUCUUGAAACCGUGAGCCAGACCAACAAGUUUGUUUUCAUCGUCCUUACUUUCUGGCUAAGGAGAAAGAUGACCACACAAGUAACCAAGACAAUAUCAGGUAAUAAGAUCGGCUAUGAAGAAAUCAUAGUGAAAUCCUGGGAUGGAG
Molecule: long non-coding RNA, 479 nt
Filed under: Mustela putorius furo (domestic ferret)
Lineage: Eukaryota; Metazoa; Chordata; Mammalia; Carnivora; Mustelidae
Description: lncRNA (ENSMPUG00000030747.1)
Source: RNAcentral